Falco peregrinus (peregrine falcon) is the source of this 1664-nucleotide long non-coding RNA. RefSeq lists it as uncharacterized. The record is from RefSeq and is a predicted model, not a curated record. NCBI's taxonomy places the organism in Eukaryota, Metazoa, Chordata, Aves, Falconiformes, Falconidae. The transcript has 2 exons.
UAAGCCAAAAGGCAUCUUUAUUUUGCAGACCUUGCCUUGCAGCUCUGGAAUUUCCUGGACUGACAAUUGUAAAGAAAAUCCAGGAAUGAAACGAAACCUCAAAUUUGGAAAAAUGCAUAAUGCUUGUAAUUAAAAAUUCUUGGGUUUAGGAGAUCAUUGCUCUUGAGGAAAAUCUCAAACUCUGCAACAAACUCCUGAGUAUGGAGACCUAAACCAGAAAAUACCUAUUGUCUAAAGAAUGAGUGUUUAUGAAAAAUCACAGAACUAGAGAAAAGUUAAGAAAAACUUGAUAUAACCAUUCAAGAAAUACUGUUAGACCUAUAAAUUGGAGUAUUAUUAUCAUCGCAUUUCUUAUUAUUAUCUUAUUCUUAUUUAUGAAUAAUAAAUCUGUGUUAUAGCUAAAAAUGUCCUGGUGAAAUUUCAUCAGCUGAGAAUAUGCUAUGAUUAAUUUAAUUCAAUAUAAUUUUAAAUAAUAAGUUUGCUGGGCAGACUUAGUAGAAAAAUCUGUGGUGUUUUAACACACAGCAUUAAAAACAGAAACAAGAUUUGCAAAGAUUUCAGAAUAUGCAUCUUCCUCAUUAUAAGGGAAUAUCACAUAGAUGCAUCCUAAUUUUAAUUACAGACUUUCAUCAGGAAGGUCACUAUAUUUUAGGUGCUUGACAUAAAGAUGUAAAAAAGAAAAAAUGGGGACUACUUGGUUACUUCAUCUACCCAAACACCAAAACAAGGUGUUUUCUACAAAAUAAUCUUUGUGCCCAUGACACUUUUGUGUGAGUUCAUCUGGAGUCCUUCAGGUGGGUAUGAACAUUUCCUAGGUCUUACCCACCUCUUCAACAACAUGAGGAACUGCAGUAAAUGACACUGACUUAGCUGGGCCGACAACGCAAGACUUGAUUCACAGAAAAUAACAUAGUUUGUGGCUGCCUCUUUUGCUUGUUGAGGAAUGAUGAAGUUCACAACAGCAGUGUCUGAAUUAUGAUCAAGGGCCCUUGCUGAGAGGAACAGGCAAGUUUGUAUUUUUUGGAACUGCUCCCUGGAGCUUUAACAUUCUUCACAGUUUCUUAGGCAUUUUUACAUUAGUUGUGAAAUAUGUUCGCCACGUAUGUUUGGUAGCUUUGUAAUUUUUAACUUUAGCACCUGUGAUUCUCAUGAGGGCUGGAAAUCUGUUAAUGUGAUAUGCUUUUCUGGUACAGACAGUUUCCACCAGAAUGGGUCAGAUGCUCCCAGUCAGCCACAGGUGAUAAUAAAAGCUCCUGUCUGUUGAUGCUGAGACAAGGGGAGCCAGUGGGAAGCAAACUUUGGCUUGGAUGGCAUGGUGGGUGAAGGGGGACUCAGUCUCGGGUACACAGGUCAGUUAACUCCUCUGUACUUUUAUUUGUUUGAUAUAAGCACCUAGAGAACAGAUACAAAACUGCAGAAAAAUCAAGAGAGAAGGCAGAUCAAGGAAAAGACAGCGGUGUUUUCUCCAGAAUGAAGAAUGUGUUCCUCUUCACUACUACCAUCAUUAACACUGAAAGUGAAUGAUUCGUGAAACGCAGCAAUGACAAUGCUGGUCUUCCCUAUGGUUUGUGUGUAGACUUCUCUUGCUUUAAAUUCCACUUCAUCUUCCCAAGUCUGUAUAUAAAACAUGUUGCAAAAGAAAUGCUUCUCACCUGCACAGUUAA